CCUACGGGAGGCAGCAGUGGGGAAUUUUGCGCAAUGACCGAAAGGUUGACGCAGCAACGCCGCGUGUAUGAUGAAGGCUUUCGGGUCGUGAAGUACUUUCAGUGGGGAAGAACUGCAUAAUCAGUAACUGGGUUAUGAUUGACGGUACCCACAGAAGCAGCCCCGGCUAACUCCGUGCCAGCAGCCGCGGUAAUACGGAGGGGGCAAGCGUUGUUCGGAGUCACUGGGCGUAAAGAGCUCGUAGGCGGCAGUGUAAGUCGGGAGUUAAAGGCAACAGCUCAACUGUUGUAAGGCUUCUGAAGCUACAUUGCUAGAGUGCCAGAGAGGUAUGCGGAAUUCCCUGUGUAGCGGUGAAAUGCGUAGAUAUGGGGAGGAACACCGGUUGCGAAGGCGGCAUACUGGCUGGUAACUGACGCUGAGGAGCGAGAGCGUGGGUAGCAAACA
RNAcentral lists this ribosomal RNA (444 nucleotides) under uncultured Geovibrio sp. RNAcentral's name for it is "bacterial SSU rRNA". It matches the Rfam family "Bacterial small subunit ribosomal RNA", at positions 338 to 774 of the family's 1533-position model. The record is from RNAcentral. Lineage: Bacteria; Pseudomonadati; Deferribacterota; Deferribacteres; Deferribacterales; Geovibrionaceae.